Molecule: ribosomal RNA, 957 nt
Filed under: Vibrio owensii
Lineage: Bacteria; Pseudomonadati; Pseudomonadota; Gammaproteobacteria; Vibrionales; Vibrionaceae
Description: bacterial SSU rRNA
Rfam family: Bacterial small subunit ribosomal RNA
Source: RNAcentral
GGGGCGGCAGCUACCAUGCAAGUCGAGCGGAACGAGUUAUCUGAACCUUCGGGGAACGAUAACGGCGUCGAGCGGCGGACGGGUGAGUAAUGCCUGGGAAAUUGCCCUGAUGUGGGGGAUAACCAUUGGAAACGAUGGCUAAUACCGCAUAAUGCCUACGGGCCAAAGAGGGGGACCUUCGGGCCUCUCGCGUCAGGAUAUGCCUAGGUGGGAUUAGCUAGUUGGUGAGGUAAUGGCUCACCAAGGCGACGAUCCCUAGCUGGUCUGAGAGGAUGAUCAGCCACACUGGAACUGAGACACGGUCCAGACUCCUACGGGAGGCAGCAGUGGGGAAUAUUGCACAAUGGGCGCAAGCCUGAUGCAGCCAUGCCGCGUGUGUGAAGAAGGCCUUCGGGUUGUAAAGCACUUUCAGUCGUGAGGAAGGUGGUGGAGUUAAUAGCUGCAUUAUUUGACGUUAGCGACAGAAGAAGCACCGGCUAACUCCGUGCCAGCAGCCGCGGUAAUACGGAGGGUGCGAGCGUUAAUCGGAAUUACUGGGCGUAAAGCGCAUGCAGGUGGUUUGUUAAGUCAGAUGUGAAAGCCCGGGGCUCAACCUCGGAAUAGCAUUUGAAACUGGCAGACUAGAGUACUGUAGAGGGGGGUAGAAUUUCAGGUGUAGCGGUGAAAUGCGUAGAGAUCUGAAGGAAUACCGGUGGCGAAGGCGGCCCCCUGGACAGAUACUGACACUCAGAUGCGAAAAGCGUGUGGAGCAAAACAGGAUUAGAUACCCUGGUAGUCCACGCCGUAAACAAUGUCUACUUGGAGGUUGUGGCCUUGAGCCGUGGCUUUCGGAGCUAACGCGUUAAUUAGACCGCCUGGGGAUUACGGUCGCAAGAUAUAAUUCAUAUGUUUUGUCGGGUGCCCGAACAAUCGUGGAUCAUGUGGUUUAAUAAAUGCACGCGAAAAACCUAUCUACUC